CAGCGCCACGAGUGGGGACCACGUUUAUUGGGCCUAAAGCGUCCGUAGCCGGUCUGUUAAAUCUUUUGUGAAAUCGUAGAGCUUAACCUUACGGCUGGCAAGAGACACUGGCAGACUUGGAACCGGGAUGGGCAAGAGGUAUUCCAGGGGUAGCGGUAAAAUGUUAUAAUCCCUGGAGGACCACCUGUGGCGAAGGCGUCUUGCUAGAACGGAUUCGACGGUGAGGGACGAAAGCCAGGGGAGCGAUCCGGAUUAGAUACCCGAGUAGUCC
This 271-nucleotide ribosomal RNA is filed under the name uncultured archaeon. Its description in RNAcentral is "partial 16S ribosomal RNA". It matches the Rfam family "Archaeal small subunit ribosomal RNA", at positions 477 to 747 of the family's 1478-position model. The record is from RNAcentral.